Molecule: long non-coding RNA, 784 nt
Filed under: Monodelphis domestica (gray short-tailed opossum)
Lineage: Eukaryota; Metazoa; Chordata; Mammalia; Didelphimorphia; Didelphidae
Description: lncRNA (ENSMODG00000034825.2)
Source: RNAcentral
CCAUUUUUCUUUUGGAUGGCUGUAAACAUUAGGAUAAUGGGCAGUUAGGUGGCUCAUGGUUUAGAGUGCUGGGUCUGAAAUGAGGAUGACUCCUUUCCCUAAGUUAGAAUCUGGCCUCAGAUACAUGUUAUCCAUGUGACCCUGGGCAAGUCACUUAACCCUUUUUUGCCGCAGUUUCCUCCUAUAUAAAAUGAGUUGGAGGAAUGAAGGGCAAACCACUCCAGCAUUUUUGCCAAGAAAACCCCAAAUGGAGUCAUAAAAGAGCAUGACUGAAGAAUAACAGCAAUCCUUAGGAAGCUGUUCCUUUAAUUAAAUGAAGCUGCAUCUAACUUUGCUCCCAGUUUUAUCCUCAGGAACCAAGAAGAAUCAGCUUGCUCCAUGCUUCACCUGACACUCUUUAAAUACUCCAAGAGGGUUAUCAUCUCUGAUCUCCUCUCUUACCAAGUCUUUUAUUCUCUUAGAAGACCUUUAAGAUACCUUCCAACUAUAAGAUUCUACGGUUCUGUCAGAACAUACCAAUCCAUUUCAGAUGGAAGAAAUAAGCGAAAUGAGAAACAUGGGAUAUCUUUGUGGCCAGUGAACCAACAACUUAUGUCCAAGGAAUUGGGAGAGAGUUCAUUAUUUGUCAUUGGUUCACCAACAGAUGCAAUUACAGGUCCAGAGCCUGUUCCUGAAUUGUAAAAACAAAGACUCAGCUGGAAACCCUGAAGAGAAAUACAUCUUUUGGGAAAAUCCUUUCUCUGAUAUCUGUCUUACAAAUAAAGGAAUUAAGCCCCUUGUACCA